Molecule: transfer RNA, 410 nt
Filed under: Candidatus Pelagibacter communis
Lineage: Bacteria; Pseudomonadati; Pseudomonadota; Alphaproteobacteria; Candidatus Pelagibacterales; Candidatus Pelagibacteraceae
Description: Candidatus Pelagibacter ubique 16S-23S intergenic spacer
Rfam family: tRNA (bases 100-173)
Source: RNAcentral
UCUAAGGAUGAGUGAAAGUAAAAUUUCACUCUAAAUAAUAUACAUCGGUAAUGUUGACCGUCCUCAUUUCUCUUCUUAAAGUAAUGUUUCCUUCUUGUAGGGCCGGUAGCUCAGUUGGUUAGAGCACACCCUUGAUAAGGGUGGGGUCGAAAGUUCGAGUCUUUCUCGGCCCACCAUACUUAACUGGGGGAUUAGCUCAGCUGGGAGAGCGCCUGAUUUGCAUUCAGGAGGUCAGCGGUUCGAUCCCGCUAUCCUCCACCAGGAAACAUUUAGUUAUUAAAACUGUAAAUAAAAAUAAUUUAUAUCAAUAUCUAUAUCCGAACAUUAAAAGUUAUUAUUUAAUGUUCAAAAUAAAAAUUUGAUCACAACAUAGAUAAAUUUUCUUUAAAAAGAAUUUUUUUCUGUGCAUA